UGGUACAUACUGUAGCACGUUAUUUAUACAACUUAGGGCUGUUAUUUACAAAUACAAAUAAUCAACUUACAUAAAUAUUGUUAUAACAUUUAGAAAAAAAACAUAUUUAGGUUUUGGUAGUCCAACUAAGCACAUGUCCCAGUGGUUUAUUAGAAUCUCUUCUGAAAUAAAUCCCACCAUGUCUGGCACACCAUUCACGGUACUGACCACAUUUAUUCGAACGGGUGCCUGCUCGAAAUGCUUCAAGAUUUUCGUAAUGGUUUUCUCGAGGACGAGUGUUAUUUGGACCCUUCGGAGUGUUAUUUGGACCCUUCGGAAGCCGGUAAAAGAGAUUACAAUAAUACGUUGUUCUUUCUUUAGCCGAGACGAAGAAAUAAAUAUGAUAACGGUCAGGUUGUAUAUUUAUUUGUGGAUGAUUAAUGGAUGGGUUGUAAGAUUGACACUUGACAUGUAAAAUAUUAUCUUUACCGAGUUCGUUUUUGAAUACUAAACGACUUUCGGCGCAAGCUUCACUCAAUCCAAAACAUAUAGUAAUAACAAACAGAAACACUAUGAAAUUAUUCAUUUUUUUGUGAGAUAUAAUUUUUGAAGUAAUGAAAUUAUCUAUCUGUUGUAUUUAUAACUUUUUGUGUAGAAAACGUUUGCCUUUAUUUUAGAUAGUCUAUUAAUGGUGUUAGCUAAAUUUGAAAACAAAAUAUGAACCAAGUAAAAUAAUUGGUCACUAUAGCUUUUACUCAGGUUAAUGUCGAAAGUAUGGUUAUCCAAAAACAAUAAAACUAAAUAAAUUAACUGUUAUAAACUAUAUGUCACCAAAAAAUAAAGAAAACCAAAAAUCUAAAAUAUGUGGAAUUUGAUUACUUUUAACAAUAUUGAAAACUAAAAAGUUCAACGACAUGUAACUUUUGCCAAACAUCAACCAAUAUGUUUAUCAAAUGUUAGUUGUAGUAAACUUAAUAAAACAAACCUAUUCAAUCACACAUUUUAGUUUCAGAGCCACUAAUUAUUUUCUUCAUCUGUUUGAUUAUAAUUUGUGAUAGUCUCUGUCUUCUUCUCCUUGGAAAGACAGGUGAAAUUAAAAUAGAUCCGUUGCAGCAGCCUCGGAAGCUAGAUGAACAAAAUCACAAACAGUUUUUUACUAAAUCUUUCAGAAAAUGGUUAAUUAAGAUCUGAAUAUAACAAUUUCAUAAUGUUUAGUUUAAGAACAUGAUGAACAUGAGUUUAAUAACAUAAAAAGAAGACUAUGAACAUAAGCUUAAGAACACUUCUAACAUGGCUUAAAAAACACUUUGAAUAUGAGUUUAAGAACAUAAAAGCACUCUGACAAUAUGUUCUCAAUGAAGCUUCAAAAGUAAAUGGGAAGUGAAACAUGUAUUUCUCUGAAUAGCAUUUAAUUGCUUGAACCUUUGACAGUUUCAAUUUUGUCCAAUAGCACCAACAGUGUCUACAAAAUGUAAUAAAAAGCAUUGCUCCAAAAAAAAAAGGACUUACAGUUUUAGAUUCAACUUAAGUUGAGCUUCCAGUGUUUAUAUCAUCUCCAAGACCACCGUUGUCUCCCUGAUAACACCAAGACACACAUUGUUAUUUUGACAGAAUAUCAAGUGAGUUACAAACUAACAUAUCAGGGACUCGUUGAAGAUGCGUAAGACUGUGAAGGUCUGACGCUCUGCAGUGUAAUGAAACUGGUCACGCUGAGCUGGAAUAUGUAUGUCUUGCCAACACCUCCAGCCUAUAAAAGACAUAGUAACAGAACAGCUUUGUCAGCCUCAUCAGCAAGCUUAACUCGACACAGUAUCAAGAUUCAACCAUUUUUAAUCAAUAAAUGAAACCAAACUAAUCUUACACUAACAAACAAAAACAAAAUCUAUAAACGAAACCAAAAUCAUCUAAAUCAGUAUACAGAAUCAAAAUCAUCUUACAUCAACAUUAAAAACAAAAAAAUGAUCGGCGUGGAUUUAAUGUGGAUUCAAAACGGCAGGUACGUGUACAACAUUCAAUCGGGAAAACUAAAACAAACGGCGGAUGUAAAACAUAACCUGAGAGUGAAGCAAGAGCAUGUCGACGCCCAUGAAUUCUCCACCACGGCGGACGUUUCUGGCCUCCCAGAAGCGGAGCAAGCACACUUCGACGGUGGAAGAGGAGCCACCGGCUUGGAGAUCGGAGAGGAAAACCAAAACGUUAGCCAUAACAUUGUAUUUUUUGAUGAGUUAAGAACGAAUAAGAUGUAGUCUCCGAGAGAACCAUGCAUACCUUUUUUAUAGUCGACUCGAACGCCUUGCACAUCAACAAUAUCGCAUUGAAUCCAGAUUGUGGGUGUUAGAUUAAUGGGGGGGGGGAUUAAAGAUGAUUGAUUGAUCGGUUUUUGAGUGCUUGCAACGAAGGAGACGGAACGUCAGCUGCGCAAGGGGUGUCACCUUUCGAUCUGGAGACGCGAGAAGCGUAAACCAUUACGCGUACACCUAAUCCAAAACGGGGCUUUUAGUUACCAUUAUGUUCUAAAACACGUGAUGGGCUGCAUGCUGUAAAGCCCAACAAAACAAUGGAACCCAGAGACAACGACUUAAACGAUGCACUGCGUUUCACUGAUUGGACACGUGUCGCAACAUCCUGUCUCUAUUUGUUGAGCUGGCGCAAGGAGAAGAGAGUCCCUCUCUACUUUAUGUUAUUAGAUUUAUAGUAAAAUUCUAAAAUAAAAUAAUAAAUUAUUCGGUAUAACAAAUAAAAACAAUAUAAGAGGUAAUAGAAUAAGUAAAAAAGCCACCGAUUAUAUACAAAACUGAAUAAUAAUAUUUUAUAAAAACACAAGUACAUUCAAUAUAUACAAAAUAUAAAAUAAUCAAUAUUUGGAGUAUUAAACCUAACAACAACAAUACAAACUUCAAUUUACUUACUAUAUAUAAAAAAAUUGAGGAAACCUUAAGAAAAUAUAUACCAUUUCAAUCAUGAAAUUCGUGUCAUACAACUUUAUAUCUCUAAAAAGAAUAAUAAAAAAAUAAUGAAUUUUAGUUAGAGAUUUGCGAAGAUGACAUAAAAAUGUAUUCUCAUUAUAAAAAACAUAACAAGAAAGAAAAACAAUACCUAAAACAGUAUAAUGUCAUAAAAUAUAUUUGACAACAAAUAAAAGAACAAAAACAAGUUACAAAAAGAAGCAAACAUCAAACGUUAAGUAAAAUGAAUAUAAUAUUUUUCAUCAUUUAAAAUUUUCUAUUAGACAACAAUCAUUUUAAUACAUAUUUCUUACAAAUGCAAACCUAAAACACAAACCACGAAUCGUACAAAAAAUUAAAAUCUAGAUCACAAGUAAAUUAUAUCCCGCCCGUAGGACGGGCCUAUCCUAGUAAUACAAUAAAGAAGAAAAAGGAGGAUUUCGCAUAAACAAAUGCUAGACUAAGGUUUAGAGAAAAGACAAAAGGUAAAAUAUGAAACAAGUAAAAAAAAAAAAAAUGAAACUGGUGUUUGAGCUGCAGAGAGAAGACCUACAACUUGAAGAAAAGACACAAAAUAUAAGAAAUGUAUCAACAAAAGAUGUGACUGAGUUGCAGAAACGUAACUCAAACAAUCAAAAUCUAAGAUUUAAUAUUUGGAGCAGAAGCAAAAGAUUAAAGUUGAUGAUGCAGAAAAACAGGUAGUUGAACUUAAAGAAAGAAAGCUUAACUUGAGUUGGAAUUAGGAUAUCAAAAUCUAUGUUUUAAGACAUUGUAGAUUCACACACGGUAAUAGAUAUUGAAUAAGCAAAACUGUUUGAUGAGCACGGACAUAUGCAUGGCUUAAGUAGCAAUUCAAGAAAUCAAAAGCUAUGAUCGAAGAGAAUAAUUCACAAAAGGUAGUAGAUGAAUACAAAAAAUUGGUGGUAGAGCUGCAAAGGUAAAUGAUUACUUGCAUCAUAAUUCUAAACAUCACAUUAAAAAAUCAUUAUAUUAAAGAAAAAUAAACAGUGUAAAACGUUUACACACGAAAUUCCACAAAAAAAAAAUAGAACACUAAUUAUCCUUACAUAGUACAUGAACAGAUAACCGAGAAUCAAACCAAAAUAGAAUUAAAAAUUCUGAAUUCAAAACUGAAUUAAUGUUCACAAAUAAGCAAAUGGUCCAUAUAUGUCUGGAAACAAAAUAUCCAAACUGAACCGAAACUGAACUGAAAUCGAACCGAAAAACUACAAAAUAUUAGUAUUAAAAUUACCAAAUAUUAGUAUUAAAAUUACCAUAUAUUAUUGGAACACUAAUUAUAAAUUGAACUACCGGAAAAACUAACAAAUUGCCAGAGUAUGUUUUAAUCCAAAAUAUUUUAAAAUUAUCUGAAAGAACUGAACCACUCAAUUUUUUUUUUAUAAUACAAGUAACUUUGGUAAGAUCACAUAUCCUCUGAAAAUCUUCGUUAGAUUCAAUAACUUUGGUAACUAAUUUCAAUACAAGCAUGUAAAACACAUUCCGCCCGUAGGCGGCCGACCCUAGUUUACUAAUAAAAUGAUUUUAACUAUUUGCAUUACCAUUUCAAAAAUCAUUUAUUUAAAUGAUGUAAAUUUAUUUGACAUCAAUUAUAAAAUAAUGUAAAUAUUAAAAAUAAAUGAUGUUAAACAAUGAUUUUUUUUUUGUAAUGUGAGCCAUAACCCAUUUACCACCAAAACUGAUUCGUUCUGGUUACAAGUUUUACCAAUAAAAUAGAAAAAGAUUAUCUACGAUAUGGAAACAACAAUAUACAUAAUCAUUUAAUGAACUAGCAUUUUAAUAUUUUUGGUACAUACUGUAGCACGUUAUUUAUACAACUUAGGGCUGUUAUUUACAAAUACAAAUAAUCAACUUACAUAAAUAUUGUUAUAACAUUUAGAAAAAAAACAUAUUUAGGUUUUGGUAGUCCAACUAAGCACAUGUCCCAGUGGUUUAUUAGAAUCUCUUCUGAAAUAAAUCCCACCAUGUCUGGCACACCAUUCACGGUACUGACCACAUUUAUUCGAACGGGUGCCUGCUCGAAAUGCUUCAAGAUUUUCGUAAUGGUUUUCUCGAGGACGAGUGUUAUUUGGACCCUUCGGAGUGUUAUUUGGACCCUUCGGAAGCCGGUAAAAGAGAUUACAAUAAUACGUUGUUCUUUCUUUAGCCGAGACGAAGAAAUAAAUAUGAUAACGGUCAGGUUGUAUAUUUAUUUGUGGAUGAUUAAUGGAUGGGUUGUAAGAUUGACACUUGACAUGUAAAAUAUUAUCUUUACCGAGUUCGUUUUUGAAUACUAAACGACUUUCGGCGCAAGCUUCACUCAAUCCAAAACAUAUAGUAAUAACAAACAGAAACACUAUGAAAUUAUUCAUUUUUUUGUGAGAU
Molecule: long non-coding RNA, 5306 nt
Filed under: Brassica napus (rape)
Lineage: Eukaryota; Viridiplantae; Streptophyta; Magnoliopsida; Brassicales; Brassicaceae
Description: long non-coding RNA (BNAP_LNC001504)
Source: RNAcentral